AGUUUUCAGCAGGAAUACUGAGAACCAGCAGGUAAAUACUUUUCUAUUGAAGAUCCCAAGUGAAUUCCUGUGGAUUCAGAUAACCUGUUUUGAUCUUGAUGGCUGCUCAGCUUCAUCCUCUGCACUCCAGUCUUUUAAGGAUUCUCCAAAACCAGAAGAUGGGUUGUGGAACUCGUGUUUGUUUUUAUUUGCUGUUUUAAAUCAAGCCUUAUGCUCAGCUUCACAGAGUGCCUUUGCCUGGAUGACUGCCCCGUGACAUCAGCAAUCGAAACCUCCUUGGGAAUACUCUUAAGCUCAGUAGCCAGAAGAGUUGCACAAUGAGAAAAUCUGAGGGACAAAAACCCAUCCUCAGCGUUCGGCAGGGAAAAGAAGGAGCGGUGCUGUGAGUGGAUGUUCGUCCAGCUGAAAAAGAAGUUGGGAAAAGAGGCUUUGUUCCCUUUUUAAUGUGCUGUCUUCGCUUCCGAGGCAAGAGUGUGAGCAUCCUUUUGAUCAAAAGUAAGAGGAGUGCUCUGUGGCAAGGAAGAAGAACCCAAGGAAGGAGUUAGAACAGGAGAAAUAAGAGGAGUCUCCAGCUUCGUAUCAGAACUGCUACUGGCAUAAUUGCAGCUGAAACCAGAAGGAAAUGAGCUGGCUCCGUGCUUGCUACAGAGACAGAGGUCCUCGCACAGAAACAGAAGCUAUGAAAAGGCAGAGCUCUGGUGGGGAGCACGAGGUUAUUGAAUUGCCAGAAGUUAAUGGGGAGGAAAGUACAGCUGAUCAUAAGAAGCCUCUAAAUCCUCAAGUACCUGCAACGAGCAAGGAGAGAGAUCAGUGGAAAUCAUGCAGGAAGAUCAUUUUCUGGAAGUGUAAACUAUGGAUGGUUUUAACUACAAUUUUUGUUGUUUUGUUCCUGGUCAUUCUCAUCAGUCUAGCUCUAUAUUCUAAUGUUUACACAGAUGAAGAUGAUUAUUGGUAUACAGAUGAACUGCUACAGAAUUAUCACAAUUUUUCUGGAAAGUUCAACUUACUGUGUGGUCUUCCACACGUUUUCUCUGAAGACAUUAUUAAGAGGAUAACAGAUGUCUACAGCUCAUCUCCAGCUCUCGGACGCUACUUUAGGUCUGCUAAAGUGGAUUAUUUCAGUAAUGAAAGCUCCACUGUAUUUUAUCAACUAGAGUUCUUUGUACCGCCGUCAACAGAGGGGUUUAUGGAGAAUGUAAUGAACCCAGACUUUAUAAGGAAUGUUCUACUUCAAAAUAUUUACGAUGAAGAAGAUACUUCUAAUCCUGGGACAUCUGAAUGUACCAGGUUAAAGCUUGACCCAGUUUCUCUCACAUCAACAUGAAAAUAAUGGACAGACUCCUCAUCUUCCUUACCUCCUAGAAGAGGUGGUCUUCUACUGUCUAUUAGUGAUCUCAGCUACACACCAGGAGCACCCAGCAACACGUAACUGCUGCGCGGCUGGAUGGUGAUGGCCUGACAUGUUCUGAGGUUGAUACUGCCUGCUGGUGGUUUACGUGACAAAACCUUCAUCACACCACGCACAUGGGAACACAGCAGCACAUACAGGGGACUUCAAAUCAUCCUCUGCCCUGGCUGUACCCAGGGACUGGGACUGUUAGCUGGCCAGUGUGCUUGGCUGCCAGCACUUGGAGAGAUCCAAGUGCCAGCCAUCAGCAUAAGCUGGGCUCAGGGCCAGCACCUAGAGAAAAUGUGGGCGUGUGGCUCCUGGAAAGGGCCCAGGUGUUGCCAAGGAUGCGAGGACAGCUGCCCUCUGUUUGGUGCCCCGCGUCUAGCAUGUUCCUUGGAACUGGAGAGAGAAGGAAGAGCCAUUCAUUAAUGAAUGAGGAGACAGGAGGAUGCCUUGGGUGAGCAGUGAAAGCGCAUGCUUGAAUCAUUACCUGGGCAGGGCUCGGCGGGUGACUCUCGGUCUGUGCUGGGAAGAGAGGAAACAAAGAAGUGACUGCCAGUUCUUCUACAGCUAUAGGGUGCAACCGUGAACCUGUGAGACAUGGGUUGUGGGAAGGGACAACCCCCGAGGUUUCUCUCUAGAUGCUAGAGAAAUCUGGUGGAUGGUAAAGAUUAAUUUUUUCUUUGGUUUAGCAUACGCUUACACCUUGUCACGUUACUCAUUGACCACAAUGAAACCCAGACAAAUAACCCCAUGGUUCAAAAGUCUGGGCUUAUCUGGCAGUUUAUGUCUCUGUCCCAUGACCAUCUAAAUGGCACAGAGCUCUUUGCCUCAUUCUUUCUUGCAGCUUUAUUUUUAGCUGCCUACUGGGUUCUUACUAGGAAGUUGGUUGAGCUGUUGGUUGCUCCUACAACAUUUCAGAGCAGAACUUUCACUUCUGCCUAAGAUAGCAGAGCUUGAAGCAUGCCUGCUUUGCAACCUGACUGAAGGGAAGGCAUCAGCCCCUCAGCAUUGCAUUAAACCUGCCAUCCAGAGACCUGGCAGCAGUUUCAAAUACCACAGUGUUGCCUCAAGGCUGCCAUUAGAAUGCCAGCAUACACAAACAUACACAACAAGAAGCUGCCCCUCUUGAGCAAGUACUCAACUCAUGAAAGCAGUGCUACAUAUUAUACCAUCACUACAUGAGAUGCUUUACCCACUGACAGAAAAGAUAACAGUCUGAACUGAAACCAAGAUCUCGUGGUUUAUGUGAAUGCAUGUGAUUCCAACUAUAUGAGUCUUCCCUAUUUACAUAUUUGAUACGCCCAAACUAUUUUAUUAGCAGAACACCUGAUAGAGUCCACAGGUUUGCUCUUCAUUUUUAAUCUUUAAGCCAUUAAAUACUGAAGCACAUGAAGGUGCUCUGCUAGGUACGUGUUUAGAUGUAAAGCCUGAAGACAGUUUUUAACCAAACAGAAAAACAUAUAUUUAGAACCAUAGAAUCAUGGAAUAUCCCAAGUUGGAGAAGACCCAUAAGGAUCACUGAGUCCACCUCCUGGCUCCACACAGGACCAGCCAAAAUACAAAUCCUAUGUCUGAGAGCAUUGUGCAGGCAUUUCCUGAGCUCUGGCAAGCUCAGUGCCAUGACUGCUUCCCUGGAGAGGCUGUAUUUGUGCCUGUGUUUCUAGGAAAAAUCCUAAGACGGGCAGCACAGUUACAUUGGAGCACCCCAUGGCUGGAGCUGUGGUGCUUCAGAGUAGUUGAGGGCACCGCAUCCCCCCCUCCCCCUGGAGUGCUGGAGGAGUACCUUUACUUACUUUCCUUGUUGGAGUAUCUCUUCCUCCAUACAGGAAUGCUCAUCUUCCACCUGGAAUGCAGGGACAAUGACAGAGGGUCAGCUCGGGUGCUGGUUAGACUUCACGCUUCCCUGCCAAUCCCCAGGGGCCUGUGAUUACCUGGGCAGCUCCCUCAUGCUUUAAGACCUGUCCCUUUACACAGCAUUUUGGGCUGUUCAGCCUUUCCCCAGUCCUCUCAGGGAGGCAGUGUGCAGUGAGCAUUGGGAACUGAAGGGUCAAGCAGCCUUUCUGGGUUGGUUUGUGUUAAACAACAGGUGAGCGAGCAGGAAAUACAUGGAAGAGAAAUGGCAGACCCAGACCUGUGUCCUUGUGCAUUAUUCACAUCAAUCUUCCCUUUAGUGUGUCUCAGUGACAAGCAGGAGGAACGGGAAGGAGGCAACUGUGCAGCACAGCUACAGGCACAGAGGUGAUGUUAAGGGCAGGCAGGUCUGCUUCUGAGAGACCCGAGCUUUGGCCACUGAGGAACUUUUUGCUGUUCAAGCAGAAGGUGAUACAGCUUGAAGUACUGAAAGGUAACUCACGAGCACUUUACAACAUUGUUUUGGUAUCUAAGUGGUAUGUUUGCAUGUAUUCUAAAAGCGUUCUCAGGGAAUAUAAAACUGCCAAAUCAAUUUGAGACAUGAAAUGCUUUUGAGCAAAUGGCUUGCUUGUUCAUCUGAAUGAGUCUCUUUCUAACUGCACAUUUGCACUGUAUUUUCCUUUCCCAGGACCUGAGGUAAAUAGGUGUUACCACCAUUAUUGCUGCUAUAGACACUUUCUUACUAAACUUAUGUUUCUAGGUCUUACUUGUUUCCCGUGCCACCUAAAUUUGGCAACUAACAUGAAAUGAUUUCUUUUUGCAUGUCUGUAGUGUUCUUAUCAGAGCAGCAGAAAGUUCCCAAAUAUUAGCGAAUAUCAGUUCUCAACUUCCCAUUCAGGGGGAGAAUUUACUUCUCUCAUUGCAGUUGAGAAUAAAGAUAAAAUUGAUCUUGCCUUAUUAAAUGCACUGAGCAUGAACUCCUCUAGUUUAGCUGGAGACACCAGCACAAGUGCUUCACACAAUUUGCUCCUAGAAGUUCUACAAGGGACACUUUAAAUAAAAAUGUAUAUGUAUGCCAUGCAUACUCAUAAUAUACAUAAUUCAUACUGACUGUAUUGUAAUGCAAGAUAUCACAAAUUUGAUACCAGUAUUUUUGUCUUCUCAUCUGUUCAUUCAUCUGUGUCUUAUUUAUAUUUAUUUGGCUUAUGAUUUUUCAGUUGUUCACUCAGAAUGAGAAGUGAUACAGGCCAUCAGAAUCAUAGAAUUAUAGAAUUAUUAAGGCUUGAAAGGACCACUAAGAUCAUCUUGUCCAGCCACCAACCCAAUGCUACCAUGCCCACUUGGAUAGCUCUUUUCCUUGGAUAAGGUUUGGAUAUGGCUUGAAUAGCUCUUUUCGUGGAUGAUUGAAAGAAAAAUACCACAUUUCUGUAGCAAAGUAGACCUUUGUACUGCUGCACAACCCCUAGAUAAAGCUGUCUUAUUUCGUCAAUAAUGUGAACUCCUCUGGGAAAAUAUGCUGUGAUCUGAGAAUUUAAAAAGUUUCUCAACAUCUGUGCUCACACAACAGACAUGCAGGCUCCACAGCAGGAGGUAUCCAGUUGGAGGACUAGAGCUGGACUUGUCUGUGGUUGGAGGGGUUUGGAGAGGGGGUGUUGCUUGUUGGGUUUUUUAGUUAACUUGUUUCUUUAGGUAAUUAUAUGUAUAGCUUUAUCAACAAAAAUUCUGGGAAAUAAAUCUGGCUAGCGGUUUCAAAACAGAAGGAAUGCCAUUAAAGUAGAAACAAAACCAAAA
Gallus gallus (chicken) is the source of this 5035-nucleotide RNA transcript. It is a transcript of the gene named chromosome 1 open reading frame, human C3orf52, with no coding region annotated. NCBI's taxonomy places the organism in Eukaryota, Metazoa, Chordata, Aves, Galliformes, Phasianidae. The transcript is spliced from 9 exons. The record is from RefSeq and is marked validated.